RNAcentral lists this long non-coding RNA (2066 nucleotides) under Brachypodium distachyon (stiff brome). RNAcentral's name for it is "long non-coding RNA (BDIS_LNC000871)". Lineage: Eukaryota; Viridiplantae; Streptophyta; Magnoliopsida; Poales; Poaceae. The record is from RNAcentral.
CCCGACCCGCCUUAUGUUUCUCCAAAUCGGGGGUAUCAUGCAAUUUUUUAUUACAAAUAGUAUAAAAGAUAUUCUGGUACCCCUCGAUACUUCCGGUGCGAAUACCUAUUAAACUUACUACUUCACGAAUUUCAACAUGAGUUGUGCUUCUGUACUUUCCGGAAAAAAAAAUCUCAUGACUUUUAAAGCAGAUCAAAGGCUGUGAUUAAAAGCUCAAAUCCUACCUAAGACCCAUCUGAUACCCACAAGCUCAUAACCUUGAUACCCAGGCAGCCCAGUUGACAUAAGCACUUCUCUCCCGCAGGAACCCAGUUCCCCACGGAGACCUCUCUCCUCGCGUCUCCAUGGCUGCAGCCACAGUGAACACAUCAACGAGGAUGUUGCGUCGAGUUCAUCGAUGAUGCUGAGCGAACCCCUGCCGUGAUUUAUCCGAGUUUUCUGGAUGCAAAGUUCCUCGAGGAGGAUUCUCCAGAGCGUGUGAGUCUAGUAGAUGUUUGACAGGGGGUAGUCCCUGCUCGCCUUCGGCUGACCAGGAAAUGACGGAGACUGAUUGGGGACCGGGGAGACGAGGAUUUACGGCUGUAGCUUCAGGACGGCAGGAGAAACGGCCUGGUCCCGGUGGCUCAGUGGCUACGCAGUUGGACGGAGAGGUGCCUUCUGGCCUCUGGGUGUGAACGAGAAUAGAGGAGAUCGUGGGGAAGAAAGGGUCGUGGGCUUGUGGGGAAGACACGGGUCGGGAUUGGAUCGGGACUAUGGAUAUGGGCUGGAUCUAGGCCCUCGUUUGCCAGUACCUAAUUACCGUCCCUGCCUUGGGAUUCAUGCAGAAUUUUUUUCCGAAAAGCACAGAAGCACUUGCCCACUUGCCUUUCAACAUUCCAUGCUUCAUACGCGUAAUAUCUAGACAAUUCCUUAUGCGCAAUAAUAAAAAACUUGACAAUUCCCGUGUACCAACCAAACGACUAUCUUUACUAUUCCUUAAUUUUUAGUUGCGUUAGUCCAUCGUACGUCCUCCACACCGGCCGUCUCCUAAACAAUCGCUGCAAACAGAAGACCCGACCCACGGCCCACGUCUCGCACGCACCCGGAAAUAAAACUUCUAAACCGCCGCCGCCGCAAUGCGGGCGUGCCGUACUGGGUCUGCCGUCGCCCGCCGGCCCCUCGGUCCUGCGCCCUCGCCGUCGCCAAGCACACCUCCGGCAAUCGCCAACUCCCUGGCAGCCUGCAGCCCUCCCCCUCCACCUUGCUGCACGCGCGGCCGCCAAGACGGUGCCGCCGACGACCGUUCCGCUCCCAUCGCCACCCGGCUUCACCAUUAUCCUUUCCUAGCGAAUCCAUCUUCCCCCCAAGCCUCUAGGCCUGCAGCACCAAUCACUCCGGAUGACACAGAAACAUGAAGAAAACAAAGGGAAAGGAAGUGGCCAGGGAGGAGCAACAGGAAGGAGCAGCAGGUAUUCCCCUCCCCAUCACAAUCCCCUCUCCACUAGCCAUCGCCAUCUCCGUUGCUCUGGCGCCGCCCCCACCUCCUACUCUAGAGCCCACAGCCCCCCAAAUCCGGCGCCGCUCCACCCCAUUUGCUCCACCCAACAACUAAGGUACUGGAUCAUCUGUCGAAAAGUUUAUUCAUAUUCCUUUUGGUUCCAUAGAAAUGAUACAAUAAAAUUUUGGAAGCCGGUGAAACACAACAAGCAAAUAAUACAAAUCUAAUUUUGAACAUUGACAGCAUAAAUAAGCUAUCCCGUAUUUUUUGGAUAAUUAUUUGGACUUGAAAAACUAUAUUAUUUAAAUAGUUAUAUAGCCCUAAAGGCAUUUAUAGGGCAAAUGUAUUUUUAUAUAUUUUAUUUUGAGGGAAAUUACUCCCAAAAGUUGUAUCAUGAUAAAACAUGAUUUUACAAAUUUUCUGGAAUUUAUUUGGGCCAAUUUGGAGUUCAAAAUCAAAAGAUGUCAAAGAAAUAAGAAAAAGGGAAAAAAGAAAAGGCUAAAAGAAAAAAAAGGGAAGAAACAGGUCCGGCCCGGCCAAAUGGGCCGGACCGGCCCAGAUCCGACCGCGCCCGAACCGGCCCAGCCGC